GCCCAGGUGGUGAAAUUGGUAGACACGCUAGACUUAGGAUCUAGUGCUCGCGCGUGGAGGUUCGAGUCCUCUCCUGGGCA
RNAcentral lists this transfer RNA (80 nucleotides) under Bacteriovorax sp. BSW11_IV. It matches the Rfam family "tRNA". Rfam says of the family: Transfer RNA (tRNA) molecules are approximately 80 nucleotides in length. Lineage: Bacteria; Pseudomonadati; Bdellovibrionota; Bacteriovoracia; Bacteriovoracales; Bacteriovoracaceae. The record is from Rfam by way of RNAcentral.